GACGAACGCUGGCGGCGUGCUUAACACAUGCAAGUCGAACGGAAAGGCCCUGCUUUUGUGGGGUGCUCGAGUGGCGAACGGGUGAGUAACACGUGAGUAACCUGUCCUUGACUCUGGGAUAACUUCAGGAAACUGGGGCUAAUACCGGAUAGGAGCUCCUGCUGCAUGGUGGGGGUUGGAAAGUUUCGGCGGUUGGGGAUGGACUCGCGGCUUAUCAGCUUGUUGGUGGGGUAGUGGCUUACCAAGGCUUUGACGGGUAGCCGGCCUGAGAGGGUGACCGGCCACAUUGGGACUGAGAUACGGCCCAGACUCUUACGGGAGGCAGCAGUGGGGAAUAUUGCACAAUGGGCGGAAGCCUGAUGCAGCAACGCCGCGUGCGGGAUGACGGCCUUCGGGUUGUAAACCGCUUUCGCCUGUGACGAAGCGUGAGUGACGGUAAUGGGUAAAGAAGCACCGGCUAACUACGUG
RNAcentral lists this ribosomal RNA (468 nucleotides) under uncultured bacterium. RNAcentral describes it as "partial 16S ribosomal RNA". It matches the Rfam family "Bacterial small subunit ribosomal RNA", at positions 28 to 507 of the family's 1533-position model. The record is from RNAcentral.